CCUACGGGUGGCAGCAGUGAGGAAUAUUGGUCAAUGGGCGGAAGCCUGAACCAGCCAAGUAGCGUGCAGGAUGACGGCCCUACGGGUUGUAAACCGCUUUUAUACGGGAAUAACGCGCCUUACGUGUAGGCCUUUGCGUGUACCGGAUGAAUAAGCACCGGCUAAUUCCGUGCCAGCAGCCGCGGUAAUACGGAAGGUCCGGGCGUUAUCCGGAUUUAUUGGGUUUAAAGGGAGCGUAGGCCGCAUGUCAAGCGUGCUGUGAAAUGUCCGGGCUCAACCCGGGCCUUGCAGCGCGAACUGGCGUGCUUGAGUGCGCGGAAAGCAGGCGGAAUUCGUGGUGUAGCGGUGAAAUGCUUAGAUAUGACGAAGAACCCCGAUUGCGAAGGCAGCUUGCUGCAGCGGAACUGACGCUGAUGCUCGAAAGCGCGGGUAUCGAACAGGAUUAGAUACCCCUGUAGUC
Molecule: ribosomal RNA, 460 nt
Filed under: uncultured bacterium
Lineage: Bacteria
Description: partial 16S ribosomal RNA
Rfam family: Bacterial small subunit ribosomal RNA
Source: RNAcentral